AUGUGCCUACGGGGGGCAGCAGUGGGGAAUAUUGCACAAUGGGGGAAACCCUGAUGCAGCGACGCCGCGUGAAGGAAGAAGUAUUUCGGUAUGUAAACUUCUAUCAGCAGGGAAGAAAAUGACGGUACCUGACUAAGAAGCCCCGGCUAACUACGUGCCAGCAGCCGCGGUAAUACGUAGGGGGCAAGCGUUAUCCGGAUUUACUGGGUGUAAAGGGAGCGCAGGCGGGACUGCAAGUUGGAUGUGAAAUACCGCAGCUUAACUGCGGAGCUGCAUCCAAAACUGUAGUUCUUGAGUGGAGUAGG
Molecule: ribosomal RNA, 305 nt
Filed under: uncultured bacterium
Lineage: Bacteria
Description: bacterial SSU rRNA
Rfam family: Bacterial small subunit ribosomal RNA
Source: RNAcentral